This 253-nucleotide ribosomal RNA is filed under the name uncultured bacterium. RNAcentral describes it as "partial 16S ribosomal RNA". It matches the Rfam family "Bacterial small subunit ribosomal RNA", at positions 524 to 776 of the family's 1533-position model. The record is from RNAcentral.
UACGUAGGGGGCAAGCGUUGUCCGGAAUCAUUGGGCGUAAAGCGCGCGUAGGCGGCCAGAUUAGUCCGGUGUGAAAGUCAGAGGCUCAACCUCGAGACGCCGGUGGAAACCCUCUGGCUAGAGUCCGGAAGAGGAGAGUGGAAUUCCUGGUGUAGCGGUGAAAUGCGCAGAUAUCAGGAAGAACACCCGUGGCGAAGGCGGCUCUCUGGGACGGUACUGACGCUGAGACGCGAAAGCGUGGGGAGCAAACAGG